GAUGAACGCUAGCGGCAUACUUAAUACAUGUGAGUCCAGGGGCACCGGAUCCCUCCUGGGAUGCCGGCUUACCGGCGAACGGGUGAUUAACACGUAUGGAAUCUACCCUUAACUGGGGAAUAACCUUGAUAAAUCCAGGGUUAUGCCUCCUACCAUCUUGAAAAGGCAUCUUUUCUAGAUGAAAACUCCGGCAGGUUAAUGAUGGCCAGUGCACUCCAUUACCUUGUUGGUGACAUAACCGCUCAGCCGACGCCGCGAUGGAUAGCUGAUCUGACAGGAUGAUCAGCCACAUUGGCACUGACACACGGGCCAAACUCCUACCGGACGCAUCCACUAUGGAAUCUUGGUCAAUUGGCCAAAGACCCCCACCGACUCAUGCCACGUGCACGAUGAACGCCCUAAAGGUCCUAAAUUGCUUUUAUUCCCGAAUAAAAACUAUGUUUCCACACAACUUGACUGUACCAAUUGAAUAAAGACCGGCCAACUCAAUCCCCCCUUCCGCAGUAAUACUGAGGGUCCAAACGUUAUCCAAGAGUCCCUGGGUUUAAAUGGUGCUCAGGCGGCUCCUUAACUCAUUGGUGAAACCCUUCUGCUCUCCCUUGAAAUUGCCACUUACACUACUUGGCUUGAGUGCAGUAGAGGUAGGCGGAAUGUAGCAUGUAGCGGUGAAAUGCAUAGAUAUGCUACAGAACACCGAUAGCGAAAGCAGCUUACCACACUGUAACUGACGUUGAGGCACGAAAGCACGGGUAGCAAACAGGAUUAGAUACUGUGGUAGUCCAUGCUCGUAAACUUUGAACAGUAGGAGUUUGCCACCUAGUGGUAAGCUCCGUAGCGAAAGCGUUAAGUGUUCCACGUGGGGAGUACGGCCGCAAGGUUAAAACUCAAAGGAAUCGACGGGGGCCCGCACAAGCGGAGGAGCAUGUGGUAUUAAUUGCGAUGAUACGUGAGGAACCUUACCCGGGCAUAUAAUGCGUGUGACAGUUAUGGAAACAGAGUUUUCGUUCGGGACACAGUGCAAGGUGUUGCAUGGCUGUAGUCAGCUCGUGCCGUGAGGUGUUGGGUUAAGUCCAUUAAGGAGCGCAACUCAUAUGGUGUAGUCCGCCAGCAAUGUUUGGUGGGCACUGUAAAGAAACUGCGUAUGUAAGUAGAGAGGAAGGAGGGGAUGACGUUAAGUCAUUAUGGCCCUUAUGCCAGGGGCUACACACAUGGUACAAUGGUGGGUACAGAGGGAAGCCAAUGGCGAACAAGGAGAUAAUCCCAAAAGCCCAUCACAGUUUGGUUUGGUGUCCGCAAGUGGACUCCAUGAAGUGGGAUUUGAUAGUAAUUGUGGAUCAGCAAUGUCGCGGUGAAUAGGUUCCCGGGCAUGGUACACGCAGCCGUUCAAGCCAGGGAAGUCGGGAGUACAAGAAGGCGGUAUCUGUACAGAAGUGGGUGAGGGUAAGCUGUGGCAAAGGGGGCU
Molecule: ribosomal RNA, 1462 nt
Filed under: uncultured bacterium
Lineage: Bacteria
Description: partial 16S ribosomal RNA
Rfam family: Bacterial small subunit ribosomal RNA
Source: RNAcentral